Molecule: transfer RNA, 72 nt
Filed under: Candidatus Dadabacteria bacterium
Lineage: Bacteria; Pseudomonadati; Thermodesulfobacteriota; Candidatus Dadabacteria
Also listed under: 1 other name
Description: tRNA-Gln
Rfam family: tRNA
About the family: Transfer RNA (tRNA) molecules are approximately 80 nucleotides in length.
Source: RNAcentral
AGAACCAUAGUAUAACGGUUAGUACGCGUGGCUUUGAACCACGAAGCCAGGGUUCGAAUCCCUGUGGUUCUA